RNAcentral lists this ribosomal RNA (446 nucleotides) under uncultured bacterium. RNAcentral describes it as "partial 16S ribosomal RNA". It matches the Rfam family "Bacterial small subunit ribosomal RNA", at positions 330 to 792 of the family's 1533-position model. The record is from RNAcentral.
UCCAGACUCCUACGGGAGGCAGCAGUGGGGAAUAUUGCACAAUGGGGGAAACCCUGAUGCAGCAACGCCGCGUGAGUGAAGAAGUAUUUCGGUAUGUAAAGCUCUAUCAGCAGGGAAGAAGAAAGACGGUACCUGACUAAGAAGCCCCGGCUAACUACGUGCUAGCAGCCGCGGUAAUACGUAGGGGGCAAGCGUUAUCCGGAUUUACUGGGUGUAAAGGGAGCGUAGGCGGUAUGUCAAGUCAAGGGUGAAAUCCCCGCGCUCAACGUGGGAACUGCCUUUGAAACUGGCAAACUGGAGUGUGUGAGAGGAUAGUGGAAUUCCAGGUGUAGGAGUGAAAUCCGUAGAUAUCUGGAGGAACCUCAGUGGCGAAGGCGACUAUCUGGCACAUAACUGACGCUGAGGAGCGAAAGCGCGGGUAGCAAACAGGAUUAGAUACCCCUGUA